This 70-nucleotide non-coding RNA is filed under the name Schistosoma mansoni. Lineage: Eukaryota; Metazoa; Platyhelminthes; Trematoda; Strigeidida; Schistosomatidae. The record is from RNAcentral.
CCACUAACUCCGCCUGUAACUCUUCUUUGGCUACUGCCGGUACCGAGCCCGGGUAAAGGAGGAGGGUUGG